CCUACGGGAGGCAGCAGUGGGGAAUAUUGGACAAUGGGGGGAACCCUGAUCCAGCCAUGCCGCGUGUGUGAAGAAGGCCUUUUGGUUGUAAAGCACUUUAAGCGAGGAGGAGGCUACUAGUAUUAAUACUACUGGAUAGUGGACGUUACUCGCAGAAUAAGCACCGGCUAACUCUGUGCCAGCAGCCGCGGUAAU
Molecule: ribosomal RNA, 195 nt
Filed under: uncultured bacterium
Lineage: Bacteria
Description: partial 16S ribosomal RNA
Rfam family: Bacterial small subunit ribosomal RNA
Source: RNAcentral